UUCACAACUGGUGAAACACUAUCUCCUUAAUACUGUCUGCGUGAUAGUGAGUUCUCUUGAUGAUUAUGGAGCUUAAAGAUUGAGUGAAUAUUGUCCUGCUGGGGUUUGGACUGACAUUUUUGUCAUUUUUCUGGGGAAUUUCUUCCCUUUGGAUUGAGAAACCUUACUUAAUGCUUGUACUAUCAUUGUAUCUUGAAAGAAAAGAAAUGCCUUUUGAACUCAGGGACUGAUAGGCCGAAGGGACUGUAGCCUUGUCUCAGAUGAGACUUUGAAUUUUUUAUAUUUGGAAUGAGUUAAGAAUUUUGGAAACUUUUGAACAUGCAUGACUGUGUUUUGCUGUGUGAGAAGGACAUGAGGUUCUGGGGUAUCUGGGUCAAAUAAUAUGGAUUGACUGUGUGUCCAUAUAAAACUCAUAUGGAAUUGUAAUCCUUAAUUUUGGGGCCUGGUGGUAGGCGAUUUAAUCUUGAAUGGGAGGGGGUUCGGGGUGGUAGGAAAAGGAGGGGUAGGGUGGGGAGGAGUAGGUUGUCAGUAGGGUGGUAGGAGGAUGGGGGGUAGUAGGAAGGGGGAGUAGCCUUCUGCAGAGGCAGAGGCUCAUGGAAAACCUCUACUAGGGCAGUGCACCUGUGGCUUUGCAGGCUUUAGCCCCAUGGCUGCUCUCAUGGGCUGGGCUGGUGUUGAGUGCCUGUAGCUUUUCCAUACUGAGGGUGUGAGCUGUUGGUGGGCCUAUGAAUCCGGGAUCUGGAGGAUGGUGGCCUCCUUUUUGGGGGCUCCAAGCCCAUAUUUUCCUUCUGCACUGCCAUAGUGGAAGUUUCUCAAGAGGCUUGGCCUCUGCAGGAGGCUUCUGCCUGGAAACAGUGGGCGGUGGUGUGGGUGCAGGAUCUUCUUGAUGCUGAUCUCCUGAUAGUGAGACCUCAUGUGAUCUGGUUGUCUAACAGGGUGUGGUACCUCUUUCCUCUCUCUGUCUUGCUCCUACCCCUGCCAUAUGAAACAUCUCAUUGCCACUUGGCCUUCUGGUAUGAUUAGGAAGGGCCUGGUCAGUGUGGGCCUGGUCAGUGAACUAGUCAGUUGGGACUUGGUCAGUGAGGCCUAUUUACUGGGGGAAUGGUCAGCCAGGGUCUGCUUAGAGAGGGUCUCAUUAGAGGGAUCGAGUAGUGCAGGUCUUGGUGAGUGGGGACCUAGUGGCAGACAAAUGUUUGGUGUCUGGUCAGUGCAAACCUGGGCUGCAGGGCUUGGUGAGUGGAGACCUGGUCAGCUGUGGCUUAGUGGUAGCCUUGUCAGAAUGGGCUGGGUCACUGGUGACCCGGUCAAGGGGUGCUAUUCAGUGGAGGCCUGGUCACAUGGCACCUAGUCAGCAGGGCAUGUCCUCAUCAGUGAGACCCUUGUCAGUGGGACCCUGGUCAUGGCAGCCUGGUCAGGUCAGUGGAACCUAAUCAGUGGGGGCCUGGUCAGAGAGGACUUGAUCAGUGGUGGCUUUUGUAGCACUGGUCUAUGGGGUGACCUGGUCAACGGGGGUCUGAGCGGUACAUGCCUGUUCAGUGGUGCCUAGUCACUAGGUUCCUGGUCGGGGCAUCUGGUCACCGCAGGCCUGGUUAGUAGGGACCUGGUCACUGGCAGCCUGUUCCCUGGAGACCUGGUCAGUGGGGCUUCAUCUGUGGGGCCAGGCAAUGGGGUCAUGAUUGGUGGAAUGUGGUCAGGGAGGCCUUGUCAGUGAGGCCCUGGUCAGUGAGGCCUUGUCAGUGAGGUCCUUGUCAGUGGGGUCCUGGACACUGUGGGCCUGGCAGCGGGAAUCUAGUUAGUGGGGCCUGGUGAUGGGGGCCUAAUCAGUGAGAGUGUGGUCAGGGAGGACCUGAUGUGCGGGAUCUGGUCAGCAGGGACCUGGUCAGUGGGGCUGCUGAGCACUGCUGGGAGGUGUCAGGGGAAAUGCAUGUUAUCAGGGGCCCUAUGGACAGCUGGGAUGGCCCAGUGGUGUCCAAUGGCCCAGUCAAAAGUGGACAAAGCAGGUGUUUGGAUGGACCUGGGAGAUCUUGCUCAGAGAUUCUGAAAGAACAAAGCAAAAAUAUCAGAUCGGCUGCACAGAAAAAUGGCUCAAAGUGCUUAAUGACCAGAAGAAAUCUGGGAGUAGCAAGAAGGUAAUGUGGAGAGGGGAGGACCUCCAUGACUGGUGUCUGCAGAGCCAGGGGUACAGGGACCCAGUGCAGUGACCUGGCACCACCUGCCUCUCAGAGGGUGGGUAGCACACUGUCCUUACCUGGGGGACAGCAGGCCUGGUCACCGGCUUUUCUCCCUGUCCCUGCAAGCAUCACAUUGCUGGAAGAGAAUCUCAUGCCAGAGCUUGGACCAUCCCUAGCUUGGGGGUUAGGGGUUGUCUCUUGGUGACCUAAAUGAAAAAAUAGGUCCAGAUCAGAGUUCGUGAUGCAUAGCACUCACCCACUCUUUGAAUCAUGGGAGGGGAGGCCUAGUCCUAGGUAAACCUAAACUCUUUGAGGAACCACAGAGCCCAAGGCUGGAAACCUCCAGAAUCCUCCAGCCCCUGAUCCCCCCCCCCCCCGGGGACCUCUGUGGCCUGUCUCACCAGAGCACUCUUCUGUCUGUAGAGGUCUCAGGUGCUCUACAAGGGAGUCCCAUUUCAGGUGUGGGGCUGGGUAUGGUCACUCCUGCUGGAUGUCUAGAAGGUGAAAACCAAGGACCUAGGAAAAUACCAGAUACAGCCUUUCCACCGUCAUCCAGAGCAGGACAAACACGCCAGGUGGUGUCAGGAGCCCAGGUCUCCAGCUGGAGGGAAUGUCAACCCUGCAGUGGGAGCCCAUCAUGCAUCCUAGGCACAGAUGCUAACGUAGGCACCGCAGGUAAGCUGGGUUUGGUACCCCUUCCUGGCUUCAGAAAGAAGCCAAACAAGGAGCUUUCUGCAGAAUGAAACCUCUUUUCCAUCCAGAAGCACUGCUGACUGUUUGGUGGUUGCUGUUAGGGCAGUGAGCCUUUUGUCCAUUCUGAGAUUAGGCUGGUUUCUCCUCUUGGCCCUGGCCUACAGACCAUAAAGGAAAACAGCAAGAGGUCCCCAGCAAACAUCUACAGAUGGCCCUGGACAUCAGCCACAUUCAGAGAAACGUGUCAUGUUCUGGGAGGGCUAAGGCAUCGAGUAAGGCCUAUGGGGCUGGAGGAUCACAGGGCAGGUGGGGCAAUCCAGAGCUGUGGGGGCUUCCAUGGGAAUUGGGAGGUCCCAAGGCAGAGGUAGGGGUUCCACAGGAGGAGUCACAGAGCCACCAAGGGCUCUCCUGGCCCAGGGAGCAGUCAACACCAUGGACUGAACACCCACUGGGCUAAGCCCUGGGCCAGGCUGGGGCAUGUGGGGCCAGGAGGCAGCUCAGAGUGGGAGACAGAGAGACAAGUGUGCUCAGAGGGCACCCAUAUCUGCAUAUAACGUGGUCCUGAAUUUCUGGCUGGGAAGUGCUUCCAGGGUUUCAUAUGUGUUAUGGAGAUGCUUCCUCUCUCCAACCUCACCGUGCAGGAAUCCCAGUGAAUAUAUUGCCACCAUCUUGGAGCUCAGUGCCCUCAUAGUGUAACAGCACCAGCAGAUCUGCCUGUGCACAGACUUCCUGUACUACCUCACUCCUGAGGGGAGAUGCUUCUGCAGGGCCUGCGACCUGGUGCACAACUUUAGACACCAUCAUCCUGGAGCGGCACUGCACCCUCACUAGCCAGGGUGUUGAUGACUUCCUCAAUGCCAAGGCCACGUUCAAGAUUUUCGACUUCAGUGAUGCGUUUGUGCUGAGCAAGGUGGGCUUCUCCGGGAUCUUAAUUCAGGAGGUAGAAUGCAGCUUGAGAUCUAGUGUCUGAUCAAAGAACUUGAACUUGACCUGGAGGGCUCUGGGGAGCCAUGGAAGGUGCUGGAUAAAGGAAGGGACAGUCAUAUAUAUUUUAGAGAUGACUGUGGAAGGCUGCCUGGAAGGAGUGAACAAGAGCCAGGAGACCAGGGAGGGAGUUUGUGGGGCAGGUCUGGAGAUGGCAAGGGAGGGAUCCUGCUUGGAUGAAAGGUCUUCAGGGACUGUCUCAGGUUACACUCAGGUGCCCUCAGAGCUACUGUGUUCAGGGUUCUUGUCUCCAGGAUGAAAAUAAGGAGGAGUUGUCAGACAAGGACAUAUACAUGGAGGCUGGCAUCUUCAUGAGUGCCAAUCGUGGUCCUGGUGUGGACUACUGUGGGAGCAGGGGUCUCUCCAUCCAGGGACAUGGUGGAUGGACCCUACAUCACUCCAUUCUGCCCUUCCUUUCCCUCCCAUUCUCCUGAGGGACUCAAUGCAUGGGCACUGUCCAACCUCUGGUGCUGAAGCAGCCAAGAGACCCAAGCCUGCCUUGCUGCCACUUAGGAUAUGACAGCACAGCCAGUGGCCUCUACUGGAUCCUGGUACCCCUCAGAAGACACCCAGACACUGGGAGUGCUGCCACCUCGUGGUGCAAGAGUUCUGAGGGACGGCAAUUCUGAAGACAUUGAAUGCCGUUUUGCACACCCUGGUCAGAAUGAAACAUUCCUUGGGAACUCGGGCCGUGAGAAGCAUCCUUCCUGAUCACCUGACUGUAGAAACAUCCUUAUCGCACCCUCCCGGGCAAAGGCCCAACAGCCUGACUGCAGGAACAUCCUUGCCAUAUCCUGCCGGGCAGCAAGCUCUACCGCCCACACCCCUCCUUCCCAGUCCCAUGAUCACCCCAGCCUGUGAGAGGCAGUUGGUGCUGGCAGUAAGCUGGUUUCCUCCUCUGCAGGGUUUUGCUAGUAAUAAAGGUGUUGCUGUUGAAGCCGU
This 4790-nucleotide long non-coding RNA is filed under the name Homo sapiens (human). RNAcentral's name for it is "HSALNT0352027". Lineage: Eukaryota; Metazoa; Chordata; Mammalia; Primates; Hominidae. The record is from RNAcentral.